CUUCUGAGGAGUCCCACAAUAGGACGAAACAGCCGUCAUGCAG
This is a non-coding RNA of Schistosoma rodhaini, 43 nucleotides long. The record is from Rfam. NCBI's taxonomy places the organism in Eukaryota, Metazoa, Platyhelminthes, Trematoda, Strigeidida, Schistosomatidae.